Molecule: long non-coding RNA, 1800 nt
Filed under: Homo sapiens (human)
Lineage: Eukaryota; Metazoa; Chordata; Mammalia; Primates; Hominidae
Description: HSALNT0346258
Source: RNAcentral
AUUCCAGGCUGUGGAUCCGGUCGUGGGAAGCAGGCUGGUCUCCAACUUCUGGCUGCAAGUGAUCCUCCCUCCUUGGCCUGGCAAAGUGCUGGGAUUACAGGGCCGCACACAUACAGAGCUGAACUUGUAUCGCCGUGUAGAUGAAGACAAACACCUUUAGGAGAUGGCAGAGAAACAAAAUGGGAAACCCUCAGGUCUCCAAAUGACUACACCAAGCAGAAUUGCCCCACCAGCCUGCACCAUUCAUUUCUAGACUAUGAGCAAGAAGUACACUUCCAUCUUAUUUAAACAACCAUAUUUGGGGUUUUUGUUGUUGUUAUUGUUGUUGUUAUAGGAGCUUAGCUUUUACUCUAAGAAAUACAGCUACUCAACUCACUUCAUUAGGAUCUUAACUAUAAUAUCAAAACCUCCUAAGCACAGAAUAAAAAAUACAGUAGAGCAAUAUCAUUUAUGAUCAUAGAUGCAGAGCUUCCAAAUGAAAUACUAGCAUAUUCAAGGAAAGAUAUAUAUACCAUGACCUAGUUGUGUUUAAUUUCUGGAAUUCAAAAAUGGAAUGUUUGACAUAAGAAAAUCUAUUAGGCCGGGCGCGGUGGCUCACGCCUGUAAUCCCAGCACUUUGGGAGGCCGAGGCAGGCAGAUCACGAGGUCAGGAGAUCGAGAUCAUCCUGGCUAAUACGGUGAAACCCCGUUUCUACUAAAAAAUACAAAAAAAAAAUAUUAGCUGGGAGUGGUGGCGGGCGCCUGUAGUCCCAGCUACUUGGGAGGCUGAGGCAGGAGAAUGGCGUGAACCCGGGAGGCAGAGCUUACAGUGAGCUGAGAUCGUGCCACUGCACUCCAGCCUGGGUGACAGAGCGAGACUCUGUCUCAAAAAAAAAAAAAAAAAGAAAAAAGAAAACAGUUUGGCAGUUCCUCAAAAAGUUAAACAUAGGAUGUUUGAAAAUUUAAACGUAAUAUGACCUAGCAAUUCAACCCCAGGUAUACAACCAAGAGAAUUGAAAACAGGUGUUCAAACAAAAACUUGUACAGGAUUGCUCAUAGCAGCAUUAUUUAUAAUAGCCAAAAGGAAGAAACUACUCAAAUGUCCAUCAGCUGAUGAAUGGAUAAACAAAAUAUGGUGUAUUUCUACAAUGGACUAUUAUUCAAUCAUAAAAAAUGAAAUGCUGAUAAAUGCCAAAAUUGACGAACUUUUAAAACAUGCUAAGUGGCUGGGUGGGGUGGCUCUAGUCCGUAAUCCCGGCAUGUUAAGAGGCCGAGGUGGGCGGGUCACUUGAGCCUGGGAGGUCGAGGCUGCAGAGAGCUGAGAUCGCGCUACUGCACUCUAGCCUGGGUGACAGAGCAGACCCUGUCUCAGAAAGAAAAGAAAAAACAGAAAAGAGAAAGAAGACAGGAGAGGAGAGAAGGGGAGGGGAGGGGAGGGGAAUGGAGAGGGGGAGGGGAGGGGAGGGGAAGGGGGAGGGAAGGGGAGGGGAGGGGAACAUCCUGGCCGGGUGCAGUGGCUCACGCCUGUAAUCCUAGCACUUUGGGAGGCCAAGGUGGGCGGAUUGCCUGAGCUCAGGAGUUCGAGACCAGCCUGGGCAACACGGUGAAACCCCGUCUCUACUAAAAUACAAAAAAAUUAGUUGGGCGUGGCGAUGUAUACCUGUAGUCCCAGCUACUCAGGAUGCUGAGGCAGAAGAAUUGCUUGAACCCAGGAGGUUGAGGUUGCAGUGACGCGAGAUUGCACCACUGCACUCCAGCCUGGGUGACAGAGUGAGACUCUCUCCCAAAAAAAAAAAAAAAGAAAAGAAAAGAAAAGAACAU